RNAcentral lists this small RNA (30 nucleotides) under Bombyx mori (domestic silkworm). Its description in RNAcentral is "ovarian small RNA-28374". Lineage: Eukaryota; Metazoa; Arthropoda; Insecta; Lepidoptera; Bombycidae. The record is from RNAcentral.
UCGAGCAGUUAUUGCCCCCCCUGCAGAAGA